AUGGCGGUGGAUCUGACCCCGAGGCAGCCGGCCAAGGCGUACGGCGGCGAGGGCGGUGCCUACUACGAGUGGAGCCCGGCCGAGCUGCCCAUGCUCGGCGUCGCCUCCAUCGGCGCCGCCAAGCUCGCGCUCGCCGCCGGCGGCAUGUCGCUCCCCAGCUACUUCGAAUCGGCCAAGGUCGCAUACGUCCUCCAGGUUACGUACACCACCGACCCCAUCUCCUCUCGUGCUCACGCUUCGUUUUGUUUACUGCUGCGUUCGGACGAGUUCGUUCGAUCGAUCGGAGCUGUUUUGGUGCUGGUCUGUUCGGGACCUGAAUUCUGGUCCGUAUGUGGUCGCUGGUUGAUCGAACCUAUUGGUUUUGGUCUCUAUAGUCCAGAUCAAACUCGGUCGUAG
Molecule: ribosomal RNA, 396 nt
Filed under: Triticum aestivum (bread wheat)
Lineage: Eukaryota; Viridiplantae; Streptophyta; Magnoliopsida; Poales; Poaceae
Description: partial small subunit ribosomal RNA
Source: RNAcentral